This 473-nucleotide ribosomal RNA is filed under the name uncultured bacterium. RNAcentral describes it as "bacterial SSU rRNA". It matches the Rfam family "Bacterial small subunit ribosomal RNA", at positions 328 to 793 of the family's 1533-position model. The record is from RNAcentral.
AUGCCAGACUCCUACGGGAGGCAGCAGUGGGGAAUAUUGCACAACGGGCGCAAGCCUGAUGCAGCCAUGCCGCGUGUAUGAAGAAGGCCUUCGGGUUGUAAAGUACUUUCAGCGGGGAGGAAGGUGUUGAGGUUAAUAACCUCAGCAAUUGACGUUACCCGCAGAAGAAGCACCGGCUAACUCCGUGCCAGCAGCCGCGGUAAUACGGAGGGUGCAAGCGUUAAUCGGAAUUACUGGGCGUAAAGCGCACGCAGGCGGUCUGUCAAGUCGGAUGUGAAAUCCCCGGGCUCAACCUGGGAACUGCAUUCGAAACUGGCAGGCUGGAGUCUUGUAGAGGGGGGUAGAAUUCCAGGUGUAGCGGUGAAAUGCGUAGAGAUCUGGAGGAAUACCGGUGGCGAAGGCGGCCCCCUGGACAAAGACUGACGCUCAGGUGCGAAAGCGUGGGGAGCAAACAGGAUUAGAUACCCGAGUAG